GAGGGUGUAGCUCAGUGUUGAGCGUGCGCUUAGCACGCAUGAGGUCCUGGGUUCAAUCCCCAGCACCUCCA
Molecule: transfer RNA, 71 nt
Filed under: Camelus bactrianus (Bactrian camel)
Lineage: Eukaryota; Metazoa; Chordata; Mammalia; Artiodactyla; Camelidae
Also listed under: 2 other names
Rfam family: tRNA
About the family: Transfer RNA (tRNA) molecules are approximately 80 nucleotides in length. Their secondary structure includes four short double-helical elements and three loops (D, anti-codon, and T loops).
Source: Rfam by way of RNAcentral